AAAAUGUCCAAUAUAUCUCAUAAAUUGUGCAUCACCGACUCAUUUUCAUAAUAUAAUCGACUCUAAAUUUCAUCUCUCAACAUCUUCAAACAAUGGCUUCUUUUGGUGUUGCUUCUUUUUUCGUUGUUUUGAUCCUGGCAUUUGGUGUAUUAAACUUGGAAGCAUGUACUCAUGACUCGGAGUGUCAAUUGAAUUGUGAUCAUCUCGGCCUUUGUGACUUAAAAACCAAUAAAUGUAGUUGUUUGCCGAUGUCUGAGCCAUUACCCUUUGAUGGUGUACCGAUGGUGAAUGUUAAAUGCAGCACGGAUGAUGAUUGCAAGGAUGCUUGUCCACCAAAUUGCACACCUAAAUGUUUUCAUUGCUUUUGCUUAUGCUAUUGUAAUGCUUGAAAAAUAUAUUAUUUUCGUUCAAAAGACUUCGAAUUUAAGCCUUUCAAUAAUUUGUAUUAAAAAAUUGGUACAUAAAAUGAAUGAAUAGAUAAAGGUGUUGAGAGAA
Gossypium arboreum is the source of this 495-nucleotide long non-coding RNA. RefSeq lists it as uncharacterized. The transcript is spliced from 2 exons. The record is from RefSeq and is a predicted model, not a curated record. NCBI's taxonomy places the organism in Eukaryota, Viridiplantae, Streptophyta, Magnoliopsida, Malvales, Malvaceae.